RNAcentral lists this ribosomal RNA (1082 nucleotides) under Pseudodendrothrips mori. RNAcentral describes it as "16S ribosomal RNA". The stretch from base 711 to 1035 matches the Rfam family "Archaeal large subunit ribosomal RNA", at positions 2150 to 2716 of the family's 2987-position model. The record is from RNAcentral. Lineage: Eukaryota; Metazoa; Arthropoda; Insecta; Thysanoptera; Thripidae.
AAAAUCUUUUACAUAGUUACAUUUUUUCAAGAAACAUUGUUAGAAAAACUUUGAAGGAAAAAAUUAAAUUUUAAAGAAAAAAUAAGAAUUUGUUCCUUGUGUAUCAUGAUUUUUCAAUUUGAAAACCUAUAAAUAAGUCUCGAAAAAUCAAGAAAAAGUAAACCUAUUCUCUUAUGUUUCAAAAUAAGAAUAAAAGGCUUACUAGUAGUUAAAUUCUUUCAAUUGAUUUUAUAUCUAGUUCUUUUAGAAAAGAAUAGAAUUCUGAUUUUGAUUUUUAAGAAUUAAAAAAAAAUUAUAAGAAGGAUUAUCUUCUUAUAAAAGAAAAAUUAAAAAGAGUCUUUUUUAAAAGGAAUUAAAUUAACCUAUAAUUUAAUAACCAAAAAAGUUCUAAAAAAAUUUCUCAAGGAUUUUUAUUUUAUAAAAGAAUAACAUAAACCUAAUUUUUUAAUUAAUAUGGAAAAACAAGUAAGAAAAAAAAAAUAUUUUAGAACUUGGCAAAUAGACUUUUUGAAUGUUUAUCAAAAACAUUGCCUAUAGAAAGUUUAUUUUAGGUAAAACCUGCUCAAUGAAUAAUUAAAUAGCCAAAGAUGCUAAGGUAGCAUAAUAAUUUGCCUCUUAAUUAGAGGCUAGUAUGAAUGGUUUAACAGAAAAGAAACUUUUUUAAAAUUUUAAAAAGAAACUUUUGUUUAAGUAAAAAUUCUUAAAUAUAAUUGAAAGACGAUAAGACCCUAUAGAACUUUUUUUCAUAUAUAAUAAAAAAAAUUAUUUUGCUGGGGAAGCAAAGAAAAAAAAAUUUUCUUUUUAAAAAACUUUUUUAAAGAUUAAUUGAUCCUUUAGGAUAGAAGAAAAAGUUACCUUAGGGAUAACAGAGUAAUUUUUUUUGAAAGCCCAAAUCGAAAAAAAAGAUUGCUACCUCGAUGUUGAAUUAAGGUAAAAUUUUAUAGAAAAAGAUAAAACAAAUAGUCUGUUCGACUAUAAAAACCUUACAUGAUUUGAGUUAAGACCGGCGUAAGCCAGGUUGGUUUCUAUCUUCAACAAAGAAAAUUUUUAUAGUACGAAAGGACCUAAAAAAAGGAAAUAUU